Molecule: ribosomal RNA, 492 nt
Filed under: uncultured bacterium
Lineage: Bacteria
Description: partial 16S ribosomal RNA
Rfam family: Bacterial small subunit ribosomal RNA
Source: RNAcentral
AGUGAACGCUGGCGGUAGGCCUAACACAUGCAAGUCGAACGGCAGCACAGUAAGAGCUUGCUCUUACGGGUGGCGAGUGGCGGACGGGUGAGGAAUACAUCGGAAUCUACUUUUUCGUGGGGGUUAACGUAGGGAAACUUACGCUAAUACCGCAUACGACCUACGGGUGAAAGCAGGGGAUCUUCGGACCUUGCGCGUUUGAUUGAGCCGAUGUCGGAUUAGCUAGUUGGCGGGGUAAAGGCCCACCAAGGCGACGAUCCGUAGCUGGUCUGAGAGGAUGAUCAGCCACACUGGAACUGAGACACGGUCCAGACUCCUACGGGAGGCAGCAGUGGGGAAUAUUGGACAAUGGGCGCAAGCCUGAUCCAGCCAUACCGCGUGGGUGAAGAAGGCCUUCGGGUUGUAAAGCCCUUUUGUUGGGAAAGAAAAGCAGCAGGUUAAUACCCCGCUGUUCUGACGGUACCCAAAGAAUAAGCACCGGCUAACUUCGUG